This 813-nucleotide long non-coding RNA is filed under the name Homo sapiens (human). Its description in RNAcentral is "non-protein coding lnc-LOXL3-3:1". Lineage: Eukaryota; Metazoa; Chordata; Mammalia; Primates; Hominidae. The record is from RNAcentral.
UGUGUUUCUCUAUUCUGGAGCUGACUCCUAGAGCCCUCAAGCUGGAUUUGAAGGAGAAGCUGUUUGGACAGCAUGUUGCCGCGGAAGUGAUUCUCAAGGCACUGACUGGCUUCAGAAGCAACAGAAAUUCCUAGAAACAACUAAUUCUUUCCUUACGUGGCUGAGCUGGCAUAGGCAAGAAUUUUGUCAGCCAAAUUGUGGCUGAACGUCUUCACUCAAAAGGCCUGAAGAGUAACUCUCCACCUAUUUGUACUAACUCUGUACUUCCCUCAUGAGCAAAAGAUAGACCAGUUACAGAAGUGGAUUCAUGGUAAUGUGAGUGCAUAUUCCAGCUAUUUUCAUAUUUGACAAGAUGCAUAAAUUCCACCCCCAGGGUUGUCAACACAAUCAGUCUGUUUCUAGACCACUACAAAAAGGUUUUUACCAAAAAGCCAUCUUCAUCUUUCCCAGAAACAUAGACAGGGACCUCAUAACUGAGAUAGCUCUUGACUUUUGGUGGGUAGGAGGAAGGAGGGAAGACAUUUAGCUGAAGGACCUGGAACCUGUGCCGUCUGAUAGUCUUCAAUAAUAAGCACAGUGGUCUGUGGUGCAAUGGACUGAUCAACAAAACCUUAAUCAAUUACUUUACCUUUUUCCUGCCGAUGAAGUACAGACGUGAAAAUAUGCAUGAAGGCAGAGAUGAGGGCCCAUGGUUCUGCUAUAGAUGAAGACAUUGUCACAAGAGUGGCAGAGGAAAUGACGCUUUUCCCCAAAGACAAGAAAAUCUACUCAGUCAAGAGCUGUAAGACUGAACAAUGACAGCUAGAUUUCCAC